GACGAACGCUGGCGGCGUGCUUAACACAUGCAAGUCGAACGGAAAGGCCCUGCUUUUGUGGGGUGCUCGAGUGGCGAACGGGUGAGUAACACGUGAGUAACCUGCCCUUGACUUUGGGAUAACUUCAGGAAACUGGGGCUAAUACCGGAUAGGAGCUCCUGCUGCAUGGUGGGGGUUGGAAAGUUUCGGCGGUUGGGGAUGGACUCGCGGCUUAUCAGCUUGUUGGUGGGGUAGUGGCUUACCAAGGCUUUGACGGGUAGCCGGCCUGAGAGGGUGACCGGCCACAUUGGGACUGAGAUACGGCCCAGACUCCUACGGGAGGCAGCAGUGGGGAAUAUUGCACAAUGGGCGGAAGCCUGAUGCAGCAACGCCGCGUGCGGGAUGACGGCCUUCGGGUUGUAAACCGCUUUCGCCUGUGACGAAGCGUGAGUGACGGUAAUGGGUAAAGAAGCACCGGCUAACUACGUGCCAGCAGCCGCGGUGAUACGUAGGGUGCGAGCGUUGUCCGGAUUUAUUGGGCGUAAAGGGCUCGUAGGUGGUUGAUCGCGUCGGAAGUGUAAUCUUGGGGCUUAACCCUGAGCGUGCUUUCGAUACGGGUUGACUUGAGGAAGGUAGGGGAGAAUGGAAUUCCUGGUGGAGCGGUGGAAUGCGCAGAUAUCAGAGGAACACCAGUGGCGAAGGCGGUUCUCUGGGCCUUUCCUGACGCUGAGGAGCGAAAGCGUGGGGAGCGAACAGGCUUAGAUACCCUGGUAGUCCACGCUGUAAACGGUGGGUACUAGGUGUGGGGUCCAUUCCACGGGUUCCGUGCCGUAGCUAACGCUUUAAGUACCCCGCCUGGGGAGUACGGCCGCAAGGCUAAAACUCAAAGGAAUUGACGGGGCCCCGCACAAGCGGCGGAGCAUGCGGAUUAAUUCGAUGCAACGCGUAGAACCUUACCUGGGUUUGACAUGGAUCGGGAGUGCUCAGAGAUGGGUGUGCCUCUUUUGGGGUCGGUUCACAGGUGGUGCAUGCCUGUCGUCAGCUCGUGUCGUGAGAUGUUGGGUUAAGUCCCGCAACGAGCGCAACCCUUGUUCACUGUUGCCAGCACGUUAUGGUGGGGACUCAGUGGAGACCGCCGGGGUCAACUCGGAGGAAGGUGGGGAUGACGUCAAGUCCUCAUGCCCCUUAUGUCCAGGGCUUCACGCAUGCUACAAUGGCUGGUACAGAGAGUGGCGAGCCUGUGAGGGUGAGCGAAUCUCGGAAAGCCGGUCUCAGUUCGGAUUGGGGUCUGCAACUCGACCUCAUGAAGUCGGAGUCGCUAGUAAUCGCAGAUCAGCAACGCUGCGGUGAAUACGUUCCCGGG
This 1342-nucleotide ribosomal RNA is filed under the name uncultured bacterium. RNAcentral's name for it is "16S ribosomal RNA". It matches the Rfam family "Bacterial small subunit ribosomal RNA", at positions 28 to 1378 of the family's 1533-position model. The record is from RNAcentral.